AUUGAACGCUGGCGGCAGGCCUAACACAUGCAAGUCGAGCGGAUGAAGGGAGCUUGCUCCUGGAUUCAGCGGCGGACGGGUGAGUAAUGCCUAGGAAUCUGCCUGGUAGUGGGGGAUAACGUCCGGAAACGGGCGCUAAUACCGCAUACGUCCUGAGGGAGAAAGUGGGGGAUCUUCGGACCUCACGCUAUCAGAUGAGCCUAGGUCGGAUUAGCUAGUUGGUGGGGUAAAGGCCUACCAAGGCGACGAUCCGUAACUGGUCUGAGAGGAUGAUCAGUCACCCGGAAACGGGGCAAGGGUCCAAACUCCUACGGGGGGCAGCGGGGGGGAAUUUUGGACAAUGGGGGAAAGCCUGAUCCACCCCUCCCGGGGGUGGGAAGAAGGUCUUGGGAUUGUAAAGCACUUUAAGUGGGGGGGAAGGGCAGAAAGUUAAUACCUUGCUGUUUUGACGUUACCAACAAAAAAAGCACCGGCAAACUUCGU
RNAcentral lists this ribosomal RNA (483 nucleotides) under uncultured bacterium. RNAcentral's name for it is "partial 16S ribosomal RNA". It matches the Rfam family "Bacterial small subunit ribosomal RNA", at positions 30 to 506 of the family's 1533-position model. The record is from RNAcentral.